Molecule: ribosomal RNA, 403 nt
Filed under: bacterium
Lineage: Bacteria
Description: partial 16S ribosomal RNA
Rfam family: Bacterial small subunit ribosomal RNA
Source: RNAcentral
UGGGGAAUAUUGCACAAUGGGGGAAACCCUGAUGCAGCGACGCCGCGUGAACGAAGAAGGUAUUCGUAUCGUAAAGUUCUGUCCUAUGGGAAGAUAAUGACAGUACCAUAGAAGAAAGCUCCGGCUAAAUACGUGCCAGCAGCCGCGGUAAUACGUAUGGAGCGAGCGUUGUCCGGAAUUAUUGGGCGUAAAGGGUACGCAGGCGGUUUAAUAAGUCGAAUGUUAAAGAUCGGGGGUCAACCCCGCAAAGCAUUGGAAACUGAUAAACUUGAGUAGUGGAGAGGAAAGUGGAAUUCCUAGUGUAGUGGUGAAAUACGUAGAUAUUAGGAGGAAUACCAGUAGCGAAGGCGACUUUCUGGACACAAACUGACGCUGAGGUACGAAAGCGUGGGGAGCAAACAGG